UACGGAAGGCAGCAGUGGGGAAUAUUGCACAAUGGGCGAAAGCCUGAUGCAGCUAUGCCGCGUGUAUGAAGAAGGCCUUAGGGUUGUAAAGUACUUUCAUCGGGGAGGAAAAACAAAACUAAUAAUUUUAUUUCUUGACGUUACCCGAAAAAGAAGCACCGGCUAAUUCCGUGCCAGCAGCCGCGGUAAUACGGAGGGUGCUAGCGUUAAUCAGAAUUACUGGGCGUAAAGAGCACGUAGGUGGUUUUUUUAAGUCAGAUGUGAAAUCCCUGGGCUUAACCUAGGAACUGCAUUUUGAAACUGAAAUACUAGAGUAUCGUAGAGGGAGGUAGAAUUCUAGGUGUAGCGGUGAAAUGCGUAGAUAUCUGGAGGAAUACCUGUGGCGAAAGCGGCCUCCUAAACGAAUACUGACACUGAGGUGCGAAAGCGUGGGGAGCAAACAGGGAUUAGAUACC
RNAcentral lists this ribosomal RNA (455 nucleotides) under uncultured bacterium. Its description in RNAcentral is "bacterial SSU rRNA". It matches the Rfam family "Bacterial small subunit ribosomal RNA", at positions 340 to 786 of the family's 1533-position model. The record is from RNAcentral.